Molecule: long non-coding RNA, 1371 nt
Organism: Leopardus geoffroyi (Geoffroy's cat)
Lineage: Eukaryota; Metazoa; Chordata; Mammalia; Carnivora; Felidae
Exons: 2
Source: RefSeq, a predicted model, not a curated record
UGUGCAGAGGCUGGAGGGUGGACAGGGGCUGGGAGGGGCUGGAGAAGAGGCCGGUGUUGCUUCUGACACUCGAACUCCUCAGAAUUGCCACCCGCCCUGUGUGUCAGCACUGAGAGGGCAUUUUAGAGAUGGACAGAGGCCUGGCCUUCAUUUUUUGAGUACCUUGAAUAUUUGAAAAAAGAAGAAAAAUGCCAGAAUUGGUACAAAAAAUUGUAGGUGGUAUAUUCUAUUUAGAUGCUUAAUAAAAAAAAUGCUGCUAAACACUUAUAAAAAUACAAUGGCUAGGAGGACCGUCAUUUGGAGAGAAUGAUUCCAUAGAUCCAUAGACCAUAGAUUCACAGUCUAUGAUUUGAGUCGUUUGUGAAUGAGAUUCAGAAUGCGUGGCUCUCCUGGUCCUCUGCUCCCCUUCACCUCCGUGUUAGAUAUGGGUGCCUUUGGCGGGGCGGGGUGGGGGGUCUCCUGCUGGAGGGCUCAGGGCCCCACUCUUCUACGGGACAAAAGCCUUCAGAUCAACCUUGUGCCCCUGGGGAGAGGAGUGGUGCCCUCAGGGUGGCCUGGCCUGGGCAGGGAGGGUCUCCUUACUGGGCUGGGGUGAACAGCAGGUGGAGGGACACAACCUGAGUCAUCCGUGGGACACGAUGCCCCCUUCUCCUGAUGGCCUCCUCCUCCAGCCAGGGGCUCAUCACUGGGGUAUCUGGGUUACCUUGGUUACAACAUGGGAAAAGGAAGUUUUGCAAAUGGCUUCUCCUUGGGUGCUUUCAGACUUAAGAAAUAGCUCCAUCAUUUGUGGCCAGCUUUCUGCUGGUUUCCUUCUGUGAUGAUAGCAGCCGCCAGUUCACCUCAUGACAUGCCUACAUCAGCCAGACAUUGUGUUAAGAGCUGAAAAUACAGCGGUUAUUCACGCUGGCUGUCCUGGGGGCAGGGGAGCUGACCGUUGAUUUGGGAGAAAGGCACAAGUGUGUGAGUCACCUCCAUGUAAUGAAGUGAGCACUCUUCUUGGAUUAUGACAGAACCAUAGAGGAGAGCCGCCCACCCAGGGCGGGGUGUUCCUGAGAAGGUUCUGGAACAGAGAGGGAGGCUGAGCUGAAUCCUGAUGAAGAAAGGACUUAGCCAGGCUGGAGUGGGUUGUGAGAAGAUCCAAGGGACGGGGGCACCCAGCUCGGGUCGAGACUACAUUUCCAACAGUGGGAGUUCAGGGUCAGAAGGUAGAAUGACAACUACAGAAAACUUUCAAUACCAGGUUUUUCCUCCAAGGAAAUCAACGUCCAUUGGCGUUCCCCUCCGCAGAGCAUGAGAGUCUUUCUAUCCCCACCUGCCCCUCCACCCGUGUGAGUGAGUUUUAAUAAAACUCACUUCCUCCACCUGUGCCAA